GGUUUCUUGUAAAAAAUUAAGAAAUUUAAUCUGCCCACUGAAUAAAUUUUUGAAGGGCCGCAGUAUUUUGACUGUGCAAAGGUAGCAUAAUCAUUAGUCUUUUAAUUGAAGGCUUGUAUGAAUGAUUGGACGAGGUAAAUACUGUUUUAUAUAAAUUAUUGUUGAAUUUAAGUUUUAAGUAAAAAAACUUAAAUAUAAUUAAGGGACGAGAAGACCCUAUAGAGUUUAAUAUAUGAAAUAAUUAAUUGAGUUAAAGUUUAAUUUUUGAUUAUUAUUAAAUUUAUUUAAUUGGGGUGAUUAAAAAAUAAUUAAAACUUUUUUUUUAAUUUGAUAUUAUAAGUAAUUAUGUGAUCCAUUAAUUAAUGAUUAAAAGAUUAAAUUACCUUAGGGAUAACAGCAUAAUUUUUUUUAAGAGUUCAUAUCGAAAAAAAAGAUUAUGACCUCGAUGUUGGAUUAAGAAUAGUUUUAGGGUGUAGAAGUUCAAUAACUAGGUCUG
Molecule: ribosomal RNA, 496 nt
Filed under: Stagmomantis sp. MN027
Lineage: Eukaryota; Metazoa; Arthropoda; Insecta; Mantodea; Mantidae
Description: partial 16S ribosomal RNA
Source: RNAcentral